Molecule: transfer RNA, 82 nt
Filed under: Echinostoma caproni
Lineage: Eukaryota; Metazoa; Platyhelminthes; Trematoda; Plagiorchiida; Echinostomatidae
Rfam family: tRNA
About the family: Transfer RNA (tRNA) molecules are approximately 80 nucleotides in length. Their secondary structure includes four short double-helical elements and three loops (D, anti-codon, and T loops). Further hydrogen bonds mediate the characteristic L-shaped molecular structure. tRNAs have two regions of fundamental functional importance: the anti-codon, which is responsible for specific mRNA codon recognition, and the 3' end, to which the tRNAs corresponding amino acid is attached (by aminoacyl-tRNA synthetases). tRNAs cope with the degeneracy of the genetic code in two manners: having more than one tRNA (with a specific anti-codon) for a particular amino acid; and 'wobble' base-pairing, i.e. permitting non-standard base-pairing at the 3rd anti-codon position.
Source: Rfam by way of RNAcentral
GACCUCGUAGCUCAGUUGGUAGAGCAUGCGCGUACAAAGCAUAAGCGGCGUUCACGCGUGGGUUCCAAUCUCACCGAGGUUA